Molecule: ribosomal RNA, 414 nt
Filed under: Panagrolaimus sp. ES5
Lineage: Eukaryota; Metazoa; Nematoda; Chromadorea; Rhabditida; Panagrolaimidae
Description: SSU rRNA
Rfam family: Eukaryotic small subunit ribosomal RNA
Source: RNAcentral
GGUAAUUCUGGAGCUAAUACAUGCAUAAAAGAUAUAUCAUUUAUUUGAUAUAUUGCGUAUAUUAGUAUUAAAACCAAGCAUUCCUUCGGGGAUGUUUAGUGUUGAACCUGAAUAUAUCUGCUAAUCGUAUGGUCUUGUACCGACGAUAUGUCAUUCAAGUGUCUGAUCUAUCAACUUUCUAUAUAAGUAUAUAGUACUUAUAUGGUUUUGACGGAUAACGGAGUAUUAGGGUACGACUCCGGAGAAAAUGCCUGAGAAACGGCGUUUACAUCCAAGGAAGGCAGCAGGCGCGAAAAUUACCCACUCUCAGUUCGAGGAGGUAGUGACGAGAAAUGACAAGAUCUAUUCCUUCGGGGAUGGAUCAUUGGAAUGGUUUGAUUUUAAAAUCAUUAAAGAGUAUCAAUGAGAGGGCAA